AAAUUGAAGAGUUUGAUCAUGGCUCAGAUUGAACGCUGGCGGCAGGCCUAACACAUGCAAGUCGAACGGUAACAGGAAGCAGCUUGCUGCUUUGCUGACGAGUGGCGGACGGGUGAGUAAUGUCUGGGAAACUGCCUGAUGGAGGGGGAUAACUACUGGAAACGGUGGCUAAUACCGCAUAACGUCGCAAGACCAAAGAGGGGGACCUUCGGGCCUCUUGCCAUCAGAUGUGCCCAGAUGGGAUUAGCUAGUUGGUGAGGUAACGGCUCACCAAGGCGACGAUCCCUAGCUGGUCUGAGAGGAUGACCAGCCACACUGGAACUGAGACACGGUCCAGACUCCUACGGGAGGCAGCAGUGGGGAAUAUUGCACAAUGGGCGCAAGCCUGAUGCAGCCAUGCCGCGUGUAUGAAGAAGGCCUUAGGGUUGUAAAGUACUUUCAGCGGGGAGGAAGGUGUUGCGGUUAAUAACCGCAGCAAUUGACGUUACCCGCAGAAGAAGCACCGGCUAACUCCGUGCCAGCAGCCGCGGUAAUACGGAGGGUGCAAGCGUUAAUCGGAAUUACUGGGCGUAAAGCGCACGCAGG
This 585-nucleotide ribosomal RNA is filed under the name Salmonella enterica. RNAcentral describes it as "bacterial SSU rRNA". It matches the Rfam family "Bacterial small subunit ribosomal RNA", at positions 1 to 575 of the family's 1533-position model. The record is from RNAcentral. Lineage: Bacteria; Pseudomonadati; Pseudomonadota; Gammaproteobacteria; Enterobacterales; Enterobacteriaceae.